CAUCCAACGACGUAGAUUCUCCCGAGAAAUGGAAACCCUAAGCAACCACCCACCCUUCCAGAUCCGAUCGAGAGGCCCCUCCCAUACUGGGUAGACCACACCACCUCCCCUCCCCUUUCGGCCACCCCUCCUUCUCCCCGUCCCCGUCCGGCAGCAGCAUCCCGGCCGGAUCCACCAGCACCCCACCUCCCCUCCCCUAUCCACACCUCCCCUCCCCUCCCCUCCCCUCCCAUCCCAUGUCAGCGGCAGCCAUGCCCGCGCAUACCGCAUCCAUCAGCACCACCAGACGCCGCGUCGCCUCGGCUUCUCUGACGCGCCCCUUCGAUGGAAGAGGCGCAGGCCGGAGCAGACAAUAGCCGGCCGGUGAUGGACGCUCAUCGCGGGACCUGACGGAGGAGGCGGCGGUUCUUUGAUGUUCAGGCAUCCUGGAGAAGGCGGCGGCAGCGGCCAAGAAGAAGAAGGCGCCGACCAUCUACUGCGCCACGAGGACACACUCUCAGAUCACCCAGGUGGUCUGGGAGCUGCGGAAGACGCCGUACUGAGUGCGCAUGGCCAUCUUGGUACUGCCUAAUGUUCCCGUCUCAGUGCACUUCUUGCCUCUUUUUCCCCCUUGUCAUUUAGAAAGACAAGGAAAUGCAUUAUCCAACCAAUGUUAAGUAGCAGUGGCACAAAUGGCGCCACUACAUGUAUUCAAUUAUCAUGUGGUAGUGGGUGUUGAUGUAGCUGUAAUCCCGAGGAGCCACAAUUCAGUACCUCCAUUUGGUACUAUUUUUAUUCCAUGUUGUGCAAUACUUAAGGGAUGCUUAGGCAAUGCUUUCUCAUUA
Hordeum vulgare subsp. vulgare (domesticated barley) is the source of this 824-nucleotide long non-coding RNA. RefSeq lists it as uncharacterized. NCBI's taxonomy places the organism in Eukaryota, Viridiplantae, Streptophyta, Magnoliopsida, Poales, Poaceae. The record is from RefSeq and is a predicted model, not a curated record. The transcript is spliced from 2 exons.